Molecule: ribosomal RNA, 253 nt
Filed under: uncultured bacterium
Lineage: Bacteria
Description: partial 16S ribosomal RNA
Rfam family: Bacterial small subunit ribosomal RNA
Source: RNAcentral
UACGUAGGGUGCAGGCGUUAAUCGGAAUUACUGGGCGUAAAGCGUGCGCAGGCGGUUUGCUAAGACAGGUGUGAAAUCCCCGGGCUUAACCUGGGAACUGCAUUCGAGACUGCAUUGCUAGAGUAUGGGAGAGGGAAGUGGAAUUUCCGGUGUAGCGGUGAAAUGCGUAGAUAUCGGAAGGAACAUCAGUGGCGAAAGCGACUUCCUGGACCAAUACUGACGCUCAUGUGCGAAAGCGUGGGGAGCAAACAGG